Monodelphis domestica (gray short-tailed opossum) is the source of this 1199-nucleotide non-coding RNA. Lineage: Eukaryota; Metazoa; Chordata; Mammalia; Didelphimorphia; Didelphidae. The record is from RefSeq and is a predicted model, not a curated record.
GAGCAUUUGCUCAACUCAAAGUCUGCCAGCAGGUCCAGAAAGUGGAGAGAGAUUCCUGGAUCCAUUUCCUGCCCUCAAGGAGACUGGGAUUUGGUUCCUCCCUUCCCUAGUUAAAAGUGAGACAGAGUGCCUACAAGGAUUGACUCUCCCACUCUGCUAACCAGCUGGAGGAAAGUGGGGACAAUGGCAAAGGGAAUAAAUAGCCUCCCCAAAGCCUGGAUUCAUGAUUGACUGUUGAGAGAGUGGAAUCACUAGAAACUACUUCUACAGAAGCAGUGAUAAUACCAUGAAGACUUCCCAAGGAAUUUAUCCCAGUGAGCUCAAGCUGCAUGAAGAUUUCACCGAACUGCCAAAGGGCUUUUUCAACUAAACCAGAAACUGAAGACAGUGUCUGCUACAGCCAAGAAGUAAAGAAACAUCCUGUGGAGACUCCAAGACCAAGAGAGCAGUGAGACACCCUCAGCAGCCAGAAAUCCAUCUUCAGGAGUAAUUGAAUUCUGAGUGUAUUAUCUGAUUUUCAGAGGAAGGAAACAGGGGUGGACAUAACGCUGAACCAUGGAUCUGGGAAGAAGCCCUCUUCCAAGCUUGACUUUUGAAGAAGUAGGAUGUGGUGAGUAGAGUAACAAACCCGGAAGCAAGUAGCCUGAUUCAAGUCUCACCUUAGUCACUUAAUAGCUGUGCAUUUCUGCACAGAUCAUUUGACCCCUCUGAAUCUCAUCUGUAAAAUGAAGGGUUUGGACUUGAUGGCUUCUAAGAAUCCUCCUAGCCCUAAAUCAAUUAUCCUAUUAUUGAUUAAUUUAUUUGUUUAUAUGCUUAUUUAUUUUGCAGAUUAAGGAGAACUGGGAGGGGUAAGAGAAAAAGGAAAUGGUGUCUCAAAACCCACUUACUGAGCUUUAAUAAUUGUAAAGUAUUUGAUACUAAAUUCUGGAGAAUAAAAGAUUCAAUAAUGACAGUCAUUUUCUGGUGACAACCUAUCUGCCUCUGUAUGAGUCAAACAGAAGAGACAAAGGCAGCCUCUUCCCCAAGGACCCAUGAGUGGUUCAAGUGCUUCUGAAGUAUAGAACAGCUGCUUGGGGGAAGAUAGUGCUGAGUUUAGAUUAACUAGAACAAACCCAGGCCUGUAAAUCUGAGAGUACUGAAGUCAAGUCAUUGCAUUUAGAUACCCAGCAGGCACUGAAGUGUAACUGAUUUACCCUUUG